UGGGGAAUUUUGGACAAUGGGCGCAAGCCUGAUCCAGCCAUGCCGCGUGCAGGAUGAAGGCCUUCGGGUUGUAAACUGCUUUUGUACGGAACGAAACGGUCUGCCCUAAUACGGCGGGCUAAUGACGGUACCGUAAGAAUAAGCACCGGCUAACUACGUGCCAGCAGCCGCGGUAAUACGUAGGGUGCGAGCGUUAAUCGGAAUUACUGGGCGUAAAGCGUGCGCAGGCGGUUUUGUAAGACAGAGGUGAAAUCCCCGGGCUCAACCUGGGAACUGCCUUUGUGACUGCAAGGCUGGAGUGCGGCAGAGGGGGAUGGAAUUCCGCGUGUAGCAGUGAAAUGCGUAGAUAUGCGGAGGAACACCGAUGGCGAAGGCAAUCCCCUGGACCUGUACUGACGCUCAUGCACGAAAGCGUGGGGAGCAAACA
Molecule: ribosomal RNA, 427 nt
Filed under: uncultured bacterium
Lineage: Bacteria
Description: bacterial SSU rRNA
Rfam family: Bacterial small subunit ribosomal RNA
Source: RNAcentral